AGCGGUAGAGAGAAGCUUGCUUCUCUUGAGAGCGGCGGACGGGUGAGUAAUGCCUAGGAAUCUGCCUGGUAGUGGGGGAUAACGUUCGGAAACGGACGCUAAUACCGCAUACGUCCUACGGGAGAAAGCAGGGGACCUUCGGGCCUUGCGCUAUCAGAUGAGCCUAGGUCGGAUUAGCUAGUUGGUGAGGUAAUGGCUCACCAAGGCGACGAUCCGUAACUGGUCUGAGAGGAUGAUCAGUCACACUGGAACUGAGACACGGUCCAGACUCCUACGGGAGGCAGCAGUGGGGAAUAUUGGACAAUGGGCGAAAGCCUGAUCCAGCCAUGCCGCGUGUGUGAAGAAGGUCUUCGGAUUGUAAAGCACUUUAAGUUGGGAGGAAGGGCAGUUACCUAAUACGUGAUUGUUUUGACGUUACCGACAGAAUAAGCACCGGCUAACUCUGUGCCAGCAGCCGCGGUAAU
This 464-nucleotide ribosomal RNA is filed under the name uncultured bacterium. RNAcentral describes it as "bacterial SSU rRNA". It matches the Rfam family "Bacterial small subunit ribosomal RNA", at positions 65 to 524 of the family's 1533-position model. The record is from RNAcentral.